This 465-nucleotide ribosomal RNA is filed under the name uncultured bacterium. RNAcentral's name for it is "partial 16S ribosomal RNA". It matches the Rfam family "Bacterial small subunit ribosomal RNA", at positions 339 to 795 of the family's 1533-position model. The record is from RNAcentral.
CUACGGGACGCUGCAGUGGGGAAUAUUGGACAAUGGGGGAAACCCUGAUCCAGCAAUGCCGCGUGUGUGCAGAAGGCCUGCGGGUUGUAAAGCACUUUCGGUUGGGAGGACUGCUUCUAGCACUAAUAUUGUUGGAAGUUGACGUUACCUUCAGAAGAAGCACCGGCUAACUCCGUGCCAGCAGCCGCGGUAAUACGGAGGGUGCGAGCGUUGAUCGGAAUUACUGGGCGUAAAGCGCGCGUAGGCGGCUAGAUCAGUCGGGUGUGAAAGCCCCGGGCUUAACCUGGGAACUGCAUCCGAUACUGUCUAGCUUGAGUACAGGAGAGGAGAGUGGAAUUCCACAUGUAGCGGUGAAAUGCGUAGAUAUGUGGAGGAACACCAAUGGCGAAGGCAGCUCUCUGGCCUGAUACUGACGCUGAGGUGCGAAAGCGUGGGGAGCAAACAGGAUUAGAUACCCUCGUAGUC